CAUCCAGGCAAUACAUAAAAAUCUAAAUUUUCUGUUUUCAACUAAUUUUAAGCAAAAAGUGUUUUUAGAUUUAAGUAUAAAGUGUAAAAAAAAAAAAAAAAAAAAACUUAUACAAAUACAGCACGAUGCAAACGACCAGUUCCAGUAGACAAUGGAUGGGUCAUACGUAUUGAACACAUAUACUCGUACAUAUGUACGGUACCACAGAAGAGAAGUACUUCUGUGGCGGGGCGGCUCGAGUCUCAAGGCAGGCAGCGAUUGGAUAAAAGCGAUGCACAUCAGGACACAAUUCAGACUUUUGCUCAAUCACCCAGGCAACACCAAUACACUUCGGAGAAUCCUUACACAUUAUACGAUGGCGAAUACAUAUACAUACGUAGAACAUUUAUCGAGGGAUGGAUCGAUGGAAAACCCAACCGAAAAGCAACACGAAAGUUGUUCAGCUAUGGAUGACACAGGAUACACGAAUCAUACGACACAAGGCAUCUGAGGGAUAGAGGGACACGAUCCGCCGCAUUCUAUUCACACAUAUGGACACAAUUGAGAUUUUGUAGAACUGUGGAGUAGGCCUACUGGGGAUACCACGUUAAAAAAAAC
Drosophila miranda is the source of this 597-nucleotide long non-coding RNA. RefSeq lists it as uncharacterized. The transcript is spliced from 4 exons. Lineage: Eukaryota; Metazoa; Arthropoda; Insecta; Diptera; Drosophilidae. The record is from RefSeq and is a predicted model, not a curated record.